UCCGUAGGGGGCAAGCGUUGUCCGGAUUUAUUGGGCGUAAAGAGCGUGUAGGCGGCCUGAAAGGUCAGCUGUGAAAACUCGAGGCUCAACCUCGAGACGUCGGUUGAAACCAUCUGGCUAGAGUCCGGAAGAGGAGUGUGGAAUUCCCGGUGUAGCGGUGAAAUGCGCAGAUAUCGGGAAGAACACCCGUGGCGAAGGCGGCACUCUGGGACGGUACUGACGCUGAGACGCGAAAGCGUGGGGAGCGAACAGG
This 253-nucleotide ribosomal RNA is filed under the name uncultured bacterium. RNAcentral describes it as "partial 16S ribosomal RNA". It matches the Rfam family "Bacterial small subunit ribosomal RNA", at positions 524 to 776 of the family's 1533-position model. The record is from RNAcentral.